CCGUAUGUUUUUCAUACAGCGCAGCACAACUUGACACUACGUCCUCGGCCAACAUGAAAAAAACAUGCUGCGCUUGCACCGCCUACAUUUACUUACUAAAAGUUAUGGGUAGUAUGUACGCCGGCUAAUUUCCUACUGUCUGGAAA
Molecule: small RNA, 146 nt
Filed under: Pseudomonas borbori
Lineage: Bacteria; Pseudomonadati; Pseudomonadota; Gammaproteobacteria; Pseudomonadales; Pseudomonadaceae
Description: Pseudomonas sRNA P14
Rfam family: Pseudomonas sRNA P14
Source: RNAcentral